Molecule: ribosomal RNA, 1759 nt
Filed under: Salmonella enterica subsp. enterica
Lineage: Bacteria; Pseudomonadati; Pseudomonadota; Gammaproteobacteria; Enterobacterales; Enterobacteriaceae
Description: partial 23S ribosomal RNA
Rfam family: Bacterial large subunit ribosomal RNA
Source: RNAcentral
CAAGACAACUUUACGGAGUUGACGAUUGACGGAGCGAAGCGACGUCAAAGCGUUCAUUAAAGUCGAGUUGGCUUAGGGAUACGUUCGUUGGGUAGGGGAGCGUUCUGUAAGCCUGUGAAGGUGUGUCGUGAGGCAUGCUGGAGGUAUCAGAAGUGCGAAUGCUGACAUAAGUAACGAUAAAGCGGGUGAAAAGCCCGCUCGCCGGAAGACCAAGGGUUCCUGUCCAACGUUAAUCGGGGCAGGGUGAGUCGACCCCUAAGGCGAGGCCGAAAGGCGUAGUCGAUGGGAAACGGGUUAAUAUUCCCGUACUUGGUGUUACUGCGAAGGGGGGACGGAGAAGGCUAUGUUGGCCGGGCGACGGUUGUCCCGGUUUAAGCGUGUAGGUGUGUGUUCCAGGUAAAUCCGGUUCACUUUAACACUGAGGCGUGACGACGAGGCACUACGGUGCUGAAGCAACAAAUGCCCUGCUUCCAGGAAAAGCCUCUAAGCAUCAGGUAACACGAAAUCGUACCCCAAACCGACACAGGUGGUCAGGUAGAGAAUACCAAGGCGCUUGAGAGAACUCGGGUGAAGGAACUAGGCAAAAUGGUGCCGUAACUUCGGGAGAAGGCACGCUGACACGUAGGUGAAGUGAUUUACUCAUGGAGCUGAAGUCAGUCGAAGAUACCAGCUGGCUGCAACUGUUUAUUAAAAACACAGCACUGUGCAAACACGAAAGUGGACGUAUACGGUGUGACGCCUGCCCGGUGCCGGAAGGUUAAUUGAUGGGGUCAGCGCAAGCGAAGCUCCUGAUCGAAGCCCCGGUAAACGGCGGCCGUAACUAUAACGGUCCUAAGGUAGCGAAAUUCCUUGUCGGGUAAGUUCCGACCUGCACGAAUGGCGUAAUGAUGGCCAGGCUGUCUCCACCCGAGACUCAGUGAAAUUGAACUCGCUGUGAAGAUGCAGUGUACCCGCGGCAAGACGGAAAGACCCCGUGAACCUUUACUAUAGCUUGACACUGAACAUUGAGCCUUGAUGUGUAGGAUAGGUGGGAGGCUUUGAAGUGUGGACGCCAGUCUGCAUGGAGCCGACCUUGAAAUACCACCCUUUAAUGUUUGAUGUUCUAACGUGGACCCGUAAUCCGGGUUGCGGACAGUGUCUGGUGGGUAGUUUGACUGGGGCGGUCUCCUCCUAAAGAGUAACGGAGGAGCACGAAGGUUGGCUAAUCCUGGUCGGACAUCAGGAGGUUAGUGCAAUGGCAUAAGCCAGCUUGACUGCGAGCGUGACGGCGCGAGCAGGUGCGAAAGCAGGUCAUAGUGAUCCGGUGGUUCUGAAUGGAAGGGCCAUCGCUCAACGGAUAAAAGGUACUCCGGGGAUAACAGGCUGAUACCGCCCAAGAGUUCAUAUCGACGGCGGUGUUUGGCACCUCGAUGUCGGCUCAUCACAUCCUGGGGCUGAAGUAGGUCCCAAGGGUAUGGCUGUUCGCCAUUUAAAGUGGUACGCGAGCUGGGUUUAGAACGUCGUGAGACAGUUCGGUCCCUAUCUGCCGUGGGCGCUGGAGAACUGAGGGGGGCUGCUCCUAGUACGAGAGGACCGGAGUGGACGCAUCACUGGUGUUCGGGUUGUCAUGCCAAUGGCACUGCCCGGUAGCUAAAUGCGGAAGAGAUAAGUGCUGAAAGCAUCUAAGCACGAAACUUGCCCCGAGAUGAGUUCUCCCUGAGACUUAGAGUCUCCUGAAGGAACGUUGAAGACGACGACGUUGAUAGGCCGGGUGUGUAAG